CAUCCACUCGAUACCUUGGAGUAAGCCCAAUUGUUGUAAACAAGUUAAAUCGGGGUACCUGGUGGAAGCGACGCCUCGCUGUUGGAAGCGCUCGAAUUGCUCUUGCUGAUAGUUGUCAUCUCCGGAUCGGAAGAUGAUAUUUCCGAAAUUUUGAUUUCCCGCCAUUGUGAUGAAUUUUUGAAGGGAUGAUUUGGAAAGGAAAAGAAGUGUAUUUGAUAUGAGAGAAUUGUUUUGUGGUGAAUGAAGGAAGUUUUGGUAGGUAUUUAUAGGAGAAGGAUUGGAAGGUAGAAAGAAAAAGUGGUUGAAAAGUAAUUA
This 315-nucleotide long non-coding RNA is filed under the name Lathyrus oleraceus (garden pea). RNAcentral's name for it is "Pisum sativum (pea) long non-coding RNA (PSAT_LNC032523)". Lineage: Eukaryota; Viridiplantae; Streptophyta; Magnoliopsida; Fabales; Fabaceae. The record is from RNAcentral.